CAAUAGCGUAUAUUAAUGUUGUUGCAGUUAAAAAGCUCGUAGUUGGAUUUCUGAUGGGAUCGACCCGGUCGGCUCCGAAAGGGGUCGCACUGGUGGUCUGUCCGGUCAUCCUCGAGGGGAGGCUUUCUGGCAUUCAUUUGUUGGGGAGUCGACGCUCGUCGUUUACUGUGAACAAAUUAGAGUGUUCAAAGCAGGCUUAGGCCGUUGAAUACAUUAGCAUGGAAUAAUAAGAUAGGACUUUGGUGGUUUAUUUUGUUGGUUUGCACGCCGAAGUAAUGAUUAAUAGGAGCAGUUGGGGAUGUCCGUAUUCGAUUGUCAGAGGUGAAAUUCUUGGAUUUAUUGAAGACGAACUACUGCGAAAGCAUUUGCCAAGGAUGUUUUCAUUAAUCAAGAACGAAAGUUAGGGGAUCAAAGAUGAUUAGAUACCAU
This 429-nucleotide ribosomal RNA is filed under the name uncultured eukaryote. RNAcentral's name for it is "SSU rRNA". It matches the Rfam family "Eukaryotic small subunit ribosomal RNA", at positions 592 to 1018 of the family's 1831-position model. The record is from RNAcentral.